GACGAACGCUGGCGGCGUGCUUAACACAUGCAAGUCGAACGGAAAGGCCCUGCUUUUGUGGGGUGCUCGAGUGGCGAAGGGGUGAGUAACACGUGAGUAACCUGCCCUUGACUUUGGGAUAACUUCAGGAAACUGGGGCUAAUACCGGAUAGGAGCUCCUGCUGCAUGGUGGGGGUUGGAAAGUUUCGGCGGUUGGGGAUGGACUCGCGGCUUAUCAGCUUGUUGGUGGGGUAGUGGCUUACCAAGGCUUUGACGGGUAGCCGGCCUGAGAGGGUGACCGGCCACAUUGGGACUGAGAGACGGCCCAGACUCCAACGGGAGGCAGCAGUGGGGAAUAUUGCACAAUGGGCGGAAGCCUGAUGCAGCAACGCCGCGUGCGGGAUGACGGCCUUCGGGUUGUAAACCGCUUUCGCCUGUGACGAAGCGUGAGUGACGGUAAUGGGUAAAGAAGCACCGGCUAACUACGUG
This 468-nucleotide ribosomal RNA is filed under the name uncultured bacterium. RNAcentral's name for it is "partial 16S ribosomal RNA". It matches the Rfam family "Bacterial small subunit ribosomal RNA", at positions 28 to 507 of the family's 1533-position model. The record is from RNAcentral.